GACGAACGCUGGCGGCGUGCCUAAUACAUGCAAGUAGAACGCACAGUUUAUACCGUAGCUUGCUACACCAUAGACUGUGAGUUGCGAACGGGUGAGUAACGCGUAGGUAACCUGCCUGGUAGCGGGGGAUAACUAUUGGAAACGAUAGCUAAUACCGCAUAAUAUUAAUUAUUGCAUGAUAAUUAAUUGAAAGGUGCAAUUGCACCACUACCAGAUGGACCUGCGUUGUAUUAGCUAGUAGGUGAGGUAACGGCUCACCUAGGCGACGAUACAUAGCCGACCUGAGAGGGGGAUCGGCCACACUGGGACUGAGACACGGCCCAGACUCCUACGGGAGGCAGCAGUAGGGAAUCUUCGGCAAUGGACGAAAGUCUGACCGAGCAACGCCGCGUGAGUGAAGAAGGUUUUCGGAUCGUAAAGCUCUGUUGUAAGGGAAGAACGGGUGUGAGAGUGGAAAGUUCACACUGUGACGGUAUCUUACCAGAAAGGGACGGCUAACUACGUG
This 505-nucleotide ribosomal RNA is filed under the name uncultured bacterium. Its description in RNAcentral is "partial 16S ribosomal RNA". It matches the Rfam family "Bacterial small subunit ribosomal RNA", at positions 28 to 507 of the family's 1533-position model. The record is from RNAcentral.